GAUCAUGGCUCAGGAUGAACGCUGGCGGCGUGCCUAACACAUGCAAGUCGAGCGAAGCAUUUUGAAGGAAGUUUUCGGAUGGAAUUUGAAAUGACUGAGCGGCGGACGGGUGAGUAACGCGUGGGUAACCUGCCUCAUACAGGGGGAUAACAGUUAGAAAUGACUGCUAAUACCGCAUAAGCACACAGUACCGCAUGGUACAGAGUGAAAAACUCCGGUGGUAUGAGAUGGACCCG
RNAcentral lists this ribosomal RNA (236 nucleotides) under uncultured bacterium. RNAcentral describes it as "partial 16S ribosomal RNA". It matches the Rfam family "Bacterial small subunit ribosomal RNA", at positions 15 to 233 of the family's 1533-position model. The record is from RNAcentral.